UAACAUUGGCCAUGGAGGGGAUUGUGAAGGAAUUGAACAGUCCCAGAACCAAAUCUUUUUGGGGGUUUCAUCACUGUCGGUGGUGGAGGUUAUGGAUGCAGAUUCCAACCAAUAUGUGGGGGUAAGUUGCUGAUGAUAUUGUGGAUAAUUUCACGGCUGUGUACGAUUUUGCUCUCUUUUUUAUCCAAUUGUAUAUGGAUUCGGAGCUUAUGUUUUGGAAUUGCCAGGGAAUAGGAC
This 237-nucleotide long non-coding RNA is filed under the name Gossypium barbadense (sea-island cotton). RNAcentral's name for it is "long non-coding RNA (GBAR_LNC023125)". Lineage: Eukaryota; Viridiplantae; Streptophyta; Magnoliopsida; Malvales; Malvaceae. The record is from RNAcentral.